GCACAGUCUGGAUGGCUUAUAAGCAGAAAUUUAUUUGUCUCAAUUCUUGUGGCUGGAAGUCCCAACCAAGAUCAGGGUGCCAGCCUCGUUCAGUUCUGGUGCAGACUGUUUUUGCAGAUAGAAGUCUUACAUCGUAUCCUUGUAUGGCAGAAAGAGGGUUGUACAAAGGUGAAGAUGUCCUGACUAUGGUAGAUCUCAUUCUGGGCUGUUAGAUCAUCAACAGGAGGGUCAUUGUGAGUCACUGCUGCGAUGUCAUGAAAUAGGACAUUCUCCCUCCAUUGCACUGAUCUCAACGGCUCCUUUCUACACGAAGAACUGGAGGUUAAUGGGAGAUGGCAGCCCAUGGCAGAAACAAAGAUGCUCAUGGUGAGUCACCUUCAGUAGGGAGUGCAGUAAGUUUCCUUGUAACAGCUUUGCAGGUAACUGGACUUGCUUAGAAGGAGCAGCCAGAUUAGAAAAGAUAGACUUGGCAGGUAUUCGUAUGGUAAUUACAUCUGACUCACUGGCAUAAGGGACACAUUUUUUUGGGGGGGGGGGUUUGGAGUAGAAUUUCCUGAUGUAAGUAGGAUGUAUUCUGAAGGACGAAGUAUCUUACCUGAGGAAUGUUGAGUAUGGAACCAUUGUAACGUGGUAUAAAUUUAUAUACGUCUUAUUUGUAGCCACAGGCAUAGCAAGGUUGGCGAUCUCAUGGUUACAUAUUUAAAAAAAAUAACAGGCCUGGUGCAGUGGGUCACACCUGUAAUCCCCACACUUU
Chlorocebus sabaeus (green monkey) is the source of this 754-nucleotide non-coding RNA. The record is from RefSeq and is a predicted model, not a curated record. Lineage: Eukaryota; Metazoa; Chordata; Mammalia; Primates; Cercopithecidae.